CUCCUCUCCUUUCAGUCAUUAGUGAAAGAAGCCAAGGAGCAACAGCUGCAGAACCAGACCAUUUUAUUUGUGUUGGCGACCUGUUAGUGUGUGCGUGCUCAACUACAUUCAAGUGAACUGGUGGCCAGGUGGUCCUGCCCUGCCUUGGGUCUAUACUCCAAUAAAAGGAUGGCGAGCUAGAAAUCAAGCAAGGAGCCUGAUGGUCCUUUCCAUGUCUUCAACACAAUUGUCAAGUCUGGUAGGAGGCUCUGCAGCUUAUCCCUCUCUCCCCACCACUCAAGCUAAGCACUCCCGAUAUCCAUUCAACCUCUGAUACUUCAAGCAGCGCUACAGGACAACUCUCCUUCUAACUCCAUAAACCUGAAGGCAUUCAUACUUGGCGGUUCAUUAUUCAUGAACAUUGGGGGUGGGGAAAUUGGACUCAGGUUUUUUUCCAGUUGGAAAAUGAUUGUGUGCACACUGUAAAUAUUUGGUUUUUUUCUGCAUCAUUUUUUGUAAAAUACAUUUUAACUCAAA
Molecule: long non-coding RNA, 516 nt
Organism: Corythoichthys intestinalis (scribbled pipefish)
Lineage: Eukaryota; Metazoa; Chordata; Actinopteri; Syngnathiformes; Syngnathidae
Exons: 3
Source: RefSeq, a predicted model, not a curated record